ACGCUAUCUGGAGGUUACCGCGGCUGCUGGCACGGAGUUAGCCGGUGCUUCUUCUGCGAGUAACGUCACAGAUGUAAGGUAUUAACUUACACCCUUUCCUCCUCGCUGAAAGUGCUUUACAACCCGAAGGCCUUCUUCACACACGCGGCAUGGCUGCAUCAGGGUUUCCCCCAUUGUGCAAUAUUCCCCACUGCUGCCUCCCGUAGGAGUCUGGGCCGUGUCUCAGUCCCAGUGUGGCUGAUCAUCCUCUCAGACCAGCUAGGGAUCGUCGCCUAGGUGAGCCUUUACCUCACCUACUAGCUAAUCCCACCUGGGCUUAUCCAUCAGCGCAAGGCCCGAAGGUCCCCUGCUUUCCCCCGUAGGGCGUAUGCGGUAUUAGCAGUCGUUUCCAACUGUUAUCCCCCACAAAUGGGCAAAUUCCCAGGCAUUACUCACCCGUCCGCCGCUCGUCAUCUUCAAAAGCAAGCUUUUGAAAUGUUACCGCUCGACUUGCAUGUGUUAGGCCUGCCGCCAGCGUUCAAU
RNAcentral lists this ribosomal RNA (522 nucleotides) under uncultured bacterium. RNAcentral describes it as "partial 16S ribosomal RNA". The record is from RNAcentral.